CUCUAAAAAAUCAUCACAGUUUCCUCCUCCUUCUUGGUCGCGUUUCCUUGUUCCUCACCGUCAAUCUGCGUUGUUCUCACUGCCACCCUCUUCUCCAUCUUUGUUUGUCCAUUGUAGUUGUUUUCUUUCCCUGUUAUUGCUCUCUGUUUCAUCCUUGGUUCGAGCUGUGAGUGGUCUUCAAGUUUCUUUCUUCUUCCUCAAUGGCUGCAAGUUUCGUGUGUCGUCAGUCAGGUGCUGGCUCUUAGUUGCUACACUAAAGUUUCGUUUGAGGUAGGCUGCUGGGUUUUGUCUCCUUCCUCUUUGAUUUCUAUAGCAAAAUGAAUUACUCUCUUUUUCCUUAGCCGAAGAGCACGUCCUUGUUCCUCAGAGUUGCUGUCAAAAUUUUGAUGAAAUUAAACUAUAUUUCCGUUGAUGCUGUGCACAUUUUUGUUGUGAUGCUAAGCUGAAUGUUGAUGAUAAAAUUUAUGUGGAAAGUUGAUUAA
Long non-coding RNA from Prosopis cineraria, 482 nucleotides. RefSeq lists it as uncharacterized. NCBI's taxonomy places the organism in Eukaryota, Viridiplantae, Streptophyta, Magnoliopsida, Fabales, Fabaceae. The transcript has 2 exons. The record is from RefSeq and is a predicted model, not a curated record.